GGACCCGUAGCUUAACUGGAUAGAGCAUGUGGCUACGGACCACAAGGUUGGGGGUUCGAAUCCCUCCGGGUUCA
This 74-nucleotide transfer RNA is filed under the name Bacteroidetes bacterium RIFCSPLOWO2_02_FULL_36_8. RNAcentral's name for it is "tRNA-Arg". It matches the Rfam family "tRNA". From Rfam's summary of the family: Transfer RNA (tRNA) molecules are approximately 80 nucleotides in length. Their secondary structure includes four short double-helical elements and three loops (D, anti-codon, and T loops). Further hydrogen bonds mediate the characteristic L-shaped molecular structure. tRNAs have two regions of fundamental functional importance: the anti-codon, which is responsible for specific mRNA codon recognition, and the 3' end, to which the tRNAs corresponding amino acid is attached (by aminoacyl-tRNA synthetases). tRNAs cope with the degeneracy of the genetic code in two manners: having more than one tRNA (with a specific anti-codon) for a particular amino acid; and 'wobble' base-pairing, i.e. permitting non-standard base-pairing at the 3rd anti-codon position. RNAcentral also lists the same sequence under 1 other name. Lineage: Bacteria; Pseudomonadati; Bacteroidota. The record is from RNAcentral.